RNAcentral lists this ribosomal RNA (460 nucleotides) under uncultured bacterium. Its description in RNAcentral is "partial 16S ribosomal RNA". It matches the Rfam family "Bacterial small subunit ribosomal RNA", at positions 338 to 795 of the family's 1533-position model. The record is from RNAcentral.
CCUACGGGUGGCAGCAGUGAGGAAUAUUGGUCAAUGGGCGGAAGCCUGAACCAGCCAAGUAGCGUGAAGGAUGACUGCCCUACGGGUUGUAAACUUCUUUUAUCAAGGAAAAAAGUGAGGCACGUGUGCCUUUCUGGAUGGAUGUUAGGAACAACGAUCGGCGAACUCCGGGCCACCAGCCGCGGUAAUACGGAGGAUCCGAGCCUUAUCCGGAUUUUUUGGGUUUAAAGGGAGGGAAGAUGGGUUGUUAAGGAAGUGGUGAAAGUUUCCGGUGCAACCGUCAAAGUGCCAUUGAUACUGGCAGCCUUGAGUGCGGUUGAGGUAGGCGGAAUGCGUGGUGUAGCGGUGAAAUGCUUAGAUAUCACGCAGAACUCCGAUUGCGAAGGCAGCCCACUAAACUGCCACUGACGUUGAUGCUCGAAAGUGUGGGUAUCAAACAGGAUUAGAUACCCCAGUAGUC